ACUCCAGCCUUUGAAAGGCUUGAUGUGCCUGUUCAGCAACAAUGCGGUCAGAGCCAAGUGUGUCAGGCGUGUAAUGGAAUCGAGAAUCUCAAAUCUUGGCGACCAUCAUCUAACAAAAUUUGACAUGGAACCAAAAAGGAAGUAACAGGAUGAACGACCAAAGAGAGAGAAUUCUAGGACCCAGCAG
This is a long non-coding RNA of Hemiscyllium ocellatum (epaulette shark), 187 nucleotides long. RefSeq lists it as uncharacterized. The transcript is spliced from 3 exons. NCBI's taxonomy places the organism in Eukaryota, Metazoa, Chordata, Chondrichthyes, Orectolobiformes, Hemiscylliidae. The record is from RefSeq and is a predicted model, not a curated record.